Molecule: long non-coding RNA, 1185 nt
Filed under: Accipiter nisus (Eurasian sparrowhawk)
Lineage: Eukaryota; Metazoa; Chordata; Aves; Accipitriformes; Accipitridae
Description: lncRNA (ENSANIG00000012579.1)
Source: RNAcentral
AUGUCUCCCUCCAGCCCCCGUGACUUGAGCCGGGGCCUGACGCUUACCCCCAAGAGCAGGGGUUGUGGAAGCAGGGGGACCGUGCUGCCUUCAAAUACGCUGAACAGGGGGCUUUCCCUGGCUCCGUCAUCCCCAGGUAUGUCUGUGGGGUUGGUCCCUGCCCUGGUUUCUUGGGACACCAAUGUGACCUUCUGUGGGGGGCUGGGAGGGGGAUUGGGGGCUUGGCUCAGCAAGAGGCAGCGUAUUGAGGGCUUGUUGGGGACCUGCUGGGGGAGCUGGGCUUCUCCCACCUGUUGGGGGAGAGAUCUGUUCACUCAGGGGCAAGCAGUGGCCCUGGUGGGGUUUCUGUGUGUGAGGGGGUGGCAGUUGCGCUUGCAGAUCCCCCUGCUAAUUCUGGGUCAGGGCUUGGGGCGUUUCCUGCCCACAGAAGCACUGGCAGGCUGCCGGGAGGGGAUUUUGGGACGUUUUCUCUGGAAGCCCAAGUGGCUCACAAGGGCAAGGGAGGAGCUGUCACGGCAGGGGAGCAGCGCUGAAGAUGGCUCUGGUGUCAUGGGCUGGCGCCGGCUGGGUUGGAGCUUUCGGUCCCACACAGAUGUACCUGUCAGUCUGCUCUGGCUUUUCCAAGCAGCCAGCGGGCUUCCCAAAUCCCUCUCCAGAUCCUGCCAGCUAUGUUUUGGCUCCAUCAUAGCUGUAGGCUCCCCAACCUGCAGGAUCACACCAGGGGAGGAGGUGAGCUGUACCCAGAACCACGCGAGCACCUGCGACAAGGGAUGGGCUCUGCUGCCUUUAACGCACGCCGGUGCUGGGAGGGACUACAGAUCCCAGCAUGCUGCUUCCUGCCUGCCUCCUCCCAUGCCCUACCUGGCAGGGUGCAGGCAGGGAUGUUGUAGCUGGCAGCAGUGCUGGCAGCUCAGGGGCAUGCCCCGGGGGGGCCAGGGGCUCAGCACCAGGAGCCCCACUGCAGAUGAAGCCCUGGGAGAGGUGCUGGAGCACCCCAUGCUGCGCAGCCCGGACUGGAGAAGGACAAGGCAGGCCUGUGGCUUCUCCGGGGUGGCUAAUCCCACUCUGCCCAAGGAAGGGGGGGUGGACCGGGGAGGGAAGGUCCCUUCUCCGGGCUCCCUGGGCUGCUUCUCUGGGGCUGUCUAUGGGGGGAGCAACACCAGGGCGGUGGCAGGGGCUGGGUAG